RNAcentral lists this ribosomal RNA (460 nucleotides) under uncultured bacterium. Its description in RNAcentral is "partial 16S ribosomal RNA". It matches the Rfam family "Bacterial small subunit ribosomal RNA", at positions 338 to 795 of the family's 1533-position model. The record is from RNAcentral.
CCUACGGGUGGCAGCAGUGAGGAAUAUUGGUCAAUGGACGAGAGUCUGAACCAGCCAAGUAGCGUGAAGGAUGACUGCCCUAGGGGUUGUAAACUUCUUUUAUAAAGGAAUAAAACGAGGCACGUGUGCCUUUUUGCAUGUACUUUAUGAAUAAGGAUCGGCUAACUCCGUGCCAGCAGCCGCGGUAAUACGGAGGAUCCGAGCGUUAUCCGGAUUUACUGGGUUUAAAGGGAGCGUAGAUGGGUGUGUAAGUCAGUUGUGAAAGUUCACGGCUCAACCGUAAAAUAGCAAUUGAUACUGGCAGUCUUGAGUACAGGUGAGGUAGGCGGAAUUCGUGGUGUAGCGGUGAAAUGCUUAGAUAUCACGAAGAACCCCGAUUGCGAAGGCAGCUUACUAAACUGUGAUUGACACUGAGGCGCGAAAGUGUGGGUAGCAAACAGGAUUAGAUACCCUGGUAGUC